Molecule: long non-coding RNA, 1289 nt
Filed under: Setaria italica (foxtail millet)
Lineage: Eukaryota; Viridiplantae; Streptophyta; Magnoliopsida; Poales; Poaceae
Description: long non-coding RNA (SITA_LNC005245)
Source: RNAcentral
UUAAUGUAUAUUUACGCACGUACAGACAAAGCAGGAUUACAUAUUGCGCAUGCCAAAGCACGGCUGUGCAAGACGUAGACUACUACAGAUAUACACACCCCAGGCCCGAGCAUAUAACACUGAGAAUCACCUCCAUAGUAAAGACUUCAAGAUGGGAUCAACUAUGCAUACAGCACAUACAAUCCCAUUCUGCAGACAAUGGAGCGGUAAUACUCAGAUAUGUAUGAUCUCGAUCGACAACACACUUAUUCCUUUCCUUGGAAGCUUCUAGUAGUCGUCGGUGUUGUUCCUGCCCGACCUACUCAUCGGAGCCGGACUUGUUGUAGCCUCCGCUGUAGUCAUCGGUUCCUGACUUGCUGCUGCGGCCAUAGUCAUCGCCGCUGGACUUGUUGUAGCCUCCGUCAUAGUUGUCCGUGCUAGACUUGUUGUAGCCACCGCUGCCAUAGUUGUCAGUGUUGGAGGUGUUCUUACCGCUGCCAUAGUCGUCGGUGCUCGACUUGUUGUAGCCGCUGCCGCCGUAGCCAUCAGUGCUGGAGUUCUUGUAGCCACCAUCAUAGUCGUCGGAGCUUGGCUUCUUGUAUUCGUCGCUGGUGGUGGACUUGCUGUAUCCACCACUGCCACUAUAGUCAUCGGUGCCAGAUUUGUUGUAGUCGCUGCUUAGGUCAUUGGACUUGUAGCCACCAUCGUUUCUGUAGUCGUCGGUGCUGGACUUGUUGUAGCCACCCCCGCUACUGUAGUCGUCAGUGCUGGACUUGUUGUAGCCGCCACCCCCGCUACUGUAGUCGUCGGUGCUGGACUUGUUGUAGCCACCGCUGCCAUAGUCGUCAGUGUUGGAGGUGUUCUUACCGCUGCCAUAGUCGUCGGUUCUCGACUUGUUGUAGCCGCUUCCGCUGUAGCCAUCAGUGCUGGAGUUCUUGUAGCUACCAUCAUAGUCGUCGGAGCUUGGCUUCUUGUAUUCAUCGCUGGUGGUGGAUUUAGUGUAUCCACCACUGCCACUGUAAUCAUCGGUGCCAGAUUUGUUGUAGUCGCUGCUUAGAUCAUUGGACUUGUAGCUACCAUUGUUUCCGUAGUUGCCGGUGCUGGACUUGUUGUAGCCACCCUCGCUACUGUAGUCGUCCGUGCUGGACUUGUAGCCGCCACCCCCGCUACCGUAGUCAUCGGUGCUGGACUUGUUGUAGCCACCAGCGUUACCGUAGUCGUUGGUGCUGGACUUGCUGUAGCCACCUUCGUCAACACUGGUGCUUCUGUAGCUGCUGCGAUCAUACUCAUCAGCCAUUUUAAGUUGUGAA